RNAcentral lists this transfer RNA (64 nucleotides) under Cavia porcellus (domestic guinea pig). It matches the Rfam family "tRNA". Rfam says of the family: Transfer RNA (tRNA) molecules are approximately 80 nucleotides in length. Their secondary structure includes four short double-helical elements and three loops (D, anti-codon, and T loops). Lineage: Eukaryota; Metazoa; Chordata; Mammalia; Rodentia; Caviidae. The record is from Rfam by way of RNAcentral.
GGUGGUUUAGCUUAGUGGCACAAGCACCUGCCUGUCAAGCAUGAUGUCAAGAGUUCAAUCACCG